RNAcentral lists this ribosomal RNA (468 nucleotides) under uncultured bacterium. Its description in RNAcentral is "partial 16S ribosomal RNA". It matches the Rfam family "Bacterial small subunit ribosomal RNA", at positions 28 to 507 of the family's 1533-position model. The record is from RNAcentral.
GACGAACGCUGGCGGCGUGCUUAACACAUGCAAGUCGAACGGAAAGGCCCUGCUUUUGUGGGGUGCUCGAGUGGCGAACGGGUGAGUAACACGUGAGUAACCUGCCCUUGACUGUGGGAUAACUUCAGGAAACUGGGGCUAAUACCUGAUAGGAGCUCCUGCUGCAUGGGGGGGGUUGGACAGUUUCGGCGGUUGGGGAUGGACUCGCGGCUUAUCAGCUUGUUGGUGGGGUAGUGGCUUACCAAGGCUUUGACGGGUAGCCGGCCUGAGAGGGUGACCGGCCACAUUGGGACUGCGAUACGGCCCAGACUCCUACGGGAGGCAGCAGUGGGGAAUAUUGCACAAUGGGCGGAAGCCUGAUGCAGCAACGCCGCGUGCGGGAUGACGGCCUUCGGGUUGUAAACCGCUUUCGCCUGUGACGAAGCGUGAGUGACGGUAAUGGGUAAAGAAGCACCGGCUAACUACGUG